CGGGGAGUGGCUCAGUCCGGCAGAGCACCUGCUUUGGGAGCAGGGGGUCGCGGGUUCGAAUCCCGCCUCCCCGACCA
RNAcentral lists this transfer RNA (77 nucleotides) under Gemmatimonadota bacterium. Its description in RNAcentral is "Gemmatimonadetes bacterium tRNA-Pro". It matches the Rfam family "tRNA". From Rfam's summary of the family: Transfer RNA (tRNA) molecules are approximately 80 nucleotides in length. Their secondary structure includes four short double-helical elements and three loops (D, anti-codon, and T loops). Further hydrogen bonds mediate the characteristic L-shaped molecular structure. tRNAs have two regions of fundamental functional importance: the anti-codon, which is responsible for specific mRNA codon recognition, and the 3' end, to which the tRNAs corresponding amino acid is attached (by aminoacyl-tRNA synthetases). tRNAs cope with the degeneracy of the genetic code in two manners: having more than one tRNA (with a specific anti-codon) for a particular amino acid; and 'wobble' base-pairing, i.e. permitting non-standard base-pairing at the 3rd anti-codon position. Lineage: Bacteria; Pseudomonadati; Gemmatimonadota. The record is from RNAcentral. RNAcentral also lists the same sequence under 1 other name.